GACGAACCGUGCGAACGUUAUUCGGAAUCACUGGGCUUAAAGCGCGUGUAGGCGGACCGCCGCGUCGGUUGCUGAAAUCCCCCGGCUCAACCGGGGAACGGGCAGCGAUACGGGCGGUCUGGAGGGAGGUAGGGGGGGCCGGAACUCACGGUGGAGCGGUGAAAUGCGUUGAGAUCGUGAGGAACGCCCGUGGCGAAAGCGGGCCCCUGGACCUUUACUGACGCUGAGACGCGAAAGCUAGGGGAGCGAACGGG
RNAcentral lists this ribosomal RNA (254 nucleotides) under uncultured bacterium. Its description in RNAcentral is "partial 16S ribosomal RNA". It matches the Rfam family "Bacterial small subunit ribosomal RNA", at positions 524 to 776 of the family's 1533-position model. The record is from RNAcentral.